RNAcentral lists this long non-coding RNA (2937 nucleotides) under Sus scrofa (pig). Its description in RNAcentral is "lncRNA (ENSSSCG00015028579.1)". The record is from RNAcentral. Lineage: Eukaryota; Metazoa; Chordata; Mammalia; Artiodactyla; Suidae.
AGCAAAAUCAGGUGCAGGUAAUGAUAAAGCUCUCUCUUAGUUGUUGUUCUUUUGCACAUGCACCAAAUUUGUUUGCACCAAAUUUGUUUACUGCAUCGUUCAGCAGUUUCAAUGUUCUGCAACAGGAAACCAAAGUUCGGAGAGGUUCAGUAACUUGCCUGUGGUUGCAGUGAAUUCAGGGUAGAGGUGGGAUGAACACCCCAUCUGGCUGAAGCCAAAGUUAUAGUCCCAGGUUCCUGGCUGAUUCAGCCUCGGAAAUUUCUCCUCUUCCAGGUGAACCUCCUGGGCCCUUCCGUUUCUGCCUCCCCCACUUCCUGCCUUAGCUUCAUUUCCAUGAAAAGCAAGAUAAAUUAAUUAUGUGCUAAUGAGUCUUCAGCAGCAGAAAAUGAGUAGGUGGCUAUGACAACGUGCUAGGAGAGUCUGUGUCUUCCGCCACUGGGGUGAGAUUCCGGGACACGACACAGGAAGGGCAGUGCUGGUUGGUGAACAUUUCUAUUGAGGCCUUCUGAUUUUGCCUGCUGUCAGGGUGAAAAGAAAACCUUCCCUGGGGCAGGGGCACUGUUGCUGAACCUCCUUCUCACUCCAGAUUCCAGAGAGUAGAACAGACCAUCCUCCUGCGUUAUGGGCCCCAGGGCUGUUUGAAGUCUAAAGUCCCUGAUAGGAGGAUGCCAGAAAAUGCAUUCAUGUGCCCAACUCACAUGUAAGGCCAAACAAACUGAAAUGUUGGAGUUUGGAGCAGAGAAAGUUUUAUUUCAGGGCCGUGCAAGAAGAGGGGUAGCUCAUGCCCCCAAACUCCAAACUUCCUGAAAGUUUUCAGCAAAGCAUUUUUUUUUUCCUUCCUGCACCUGCAGCAUACAGAAGUGCCCAGGCCAGGGACUGAACUUGGCCAUAGUAGUGACCUGAGCCACAGCAGUGACAACAUUGGUUCCCUUAACCACUAGGCCACCAGGAAACUCCCAGCAAAACAUUUUAAAGGGUCAUCAAAUAGUUAACAUCUUCCAUUUGGUGGAGGGUUUUCACAUCUAUAAAACAACUCAGGAAAUGUGCAUCAGAUACUGUUAUCUAGGUACUUAUGUAAGAUACCCAGGGAAGGGUCCAUAGGGUCCCGCUCAGUUAGAAGGACACAGGGUGUCAUAGCUAUAAGGGAAGAAAAGUCACCUCAGGAGUCAGGUCAGCCCCCAAAGCACUUUGGACUUCCCAUCUCCUUAAAUUCAGAAUUUUCACAGAAUGUCCCACUGACCACAAGCCCGGGUAGGAACUGAGCAUCUUGAGUCUCUCUAGGCUUCCUCCUGUCCUGGCAAAAGGACUUUCUGGGAAAUACUUGAUGUUGGGCCUGUGACCUGGGUUCUGCUCCAGCAAGUUCCCCGAGGGGAGGGAAAGGGAGCAUUUCUCUACUUGGCUCUGUGUUAAUUAGGAAAAGGGAAAUGGCCACCCAGAACAGGUGCUGCUCUUCAGGGGACUGCAACGCUUGUUCUUAAAAAGGAAAUUGGUACAAAUGAGCUUAAAUGAAGCAGAAUUAAGGUUGGCAGGGAGCACUGGCAGUGGCUGGCAGGUGAACAGGGCGGAAAGGGUGAGCGAACAAAGAUGGAGCCCAUAUGUGGGGGAGGGGUGGUGUCCGCUCUUCAGGGCAGGGGGAGCAGAACAUCAGCUGUUAGGGCAGAGGAGGCCUAAGCAACCGUGGCUGAAGCUGUGGGCUGGAAUCUGCACCAGGGAAUCUCAAUUCAAUUCUAUAGAAAUUGGGGGCCUAUGGGGCAGCAGGUACCAUCUCUAGGCGCUGAGGUUUCAGCAGUGAAUCCAGGCUCUGAGCCCUGAGUGGUGCGUGUGUGUGAAUGUUCCAAAGGGAUGGGGGAAGAGGGGAGAGACAAUAAAUACGAUUUCAUUUUGUGGUAAUAGCUGUGAAAGCGCUGAAACAGGGAGAUGCGUGUGUGCCUGUGUGCGACAUAUGAACUCUUUAGCAUGGGUAGUCAGGGAGGCCCCUGUGAAGAAGGGGACACUGGGAUGGGUCAUUAAGGACAAACUGCUUCCUCCCUUCUGAGGUAAAGGAAAUAGUCAGUGCUGCACUAUCAGACAACAAAAUUCUUACCUUUCAACUAUAUGAAACAAUAGUUCUUUCUAAUCCUGAGAAGUCCACAACUAAACCUUAUUUGUGGUGAGGGAAACAAUUAAAUUUGUGUGUGUAUAUACAUACGUAUAUUUUUCUUUUAUGGCCACACCUGCAGCAUAAUGAAGUUCCUGGGCUAGGGACUGAAUCCAAGCCACAGCUGUGACCUAUGCCACAGCUGAGACAAUGCUGGAUCCUUAACCCACUGCACCAGGUCGGGGAUUGAACCUGCAACUCUGCAGCUACCUGAGCCGCUGCAGUCGGAUUUCUUAACCCAUUGUGCCACAGCAGGAACUCCAGUUGUUUUUUUUUUUCUGAUUGCCUACAACAUAUGGAAUUCCCAAGCCAGGGAUCAGAUGAAAGCCACAGUUGCAACCUAUGCCACAGCUGGGGCAAUGCCGGAUCCUUAACCCACUGUGCCAGCUCAGAGAUCAAAUUUGUGCCCCAGCACUCCAUGGGUGUGGCCAAUCCCACUGCAGCAAGUGGGAACUCCCCCAGGUUUUUUUUGUUAAUGGCCCAACCCAUGGUAUAUGAAAGUUCUUGGGUCAGGGAUCAAAUCUGAGCUGCCACAGAGAUAACACUGAAUCCCUAACCUACCACACCAGAGCAGAAACUCCUACACUGACUGAUUUUUUGAAUGUUGAACCUGUCUUGCACAUAAGUUCCAUUAGGUUAUAGUAUAUAAUUGUUUAUAUACAUUUGGUAAAUUAGAUUUGCUAAGAUUUUGUUGAGGAUUUUUGCAUCUAUAUUUUUCCUUGUGAUAUGCCAAUUGUUCAUAUAUUACGCCUUUUGAAAUUGCCCCAGAUAUUCUGUUCUUCUCCCUCCCCCUCCAUUCU